This is a small nuclear RNA of Callithrix jacchus (white-tufted-ear marmoset), 140 nucleotides long. Its record names the gene U4. It matches the Rfam family "U4 spliceosomal RNA". From Rfam's summary of the family: U4 small nuclear RNA (U4 snRNA) is a component of the major U2-dependent spliceosome. The structure of U4 snRNA from yeast and human has been reported. U4 snRNA presents a k-turn RNA motif in the 5p-SL related to recognition of Snu13 protein. The record is from Ensembl. NCBI's taxonomy places the organism in Eukaryota, Metazoa, Chordata, Mammalia, Primates, Cebidae.
AGCUUUGCACACUGGAGCAUCGUAGCCAAUGAGGUUUAUCCGAGGUACGAUUAUUACUAAUUGAAAACUUUUCCCAAUAUCCCGCCAUGACGACUUGAAAUAUAGUUGGCAUUGGUAAUUUUUGACAGUCUCAACGGAGA